GCCAUCUUAGCUCAGCUGGUAGAGCAACGGUUUUGUAAACCGUCGGUCCGGAGUUCGAAUCCCCGAGAUGGCUCAA
RNAcentral lists this transfer RNA (76 nucleotides) under Candidatus Magasanikbacteria bacterium CG1_02_32_51. RNAcentral's name for it is "tRNA-Thr". It matches the Rfam family "tRNA". From Rfam's summary of the family: Transfer RNA (tRNA) molecules are approximately 80 nucleotides in length. Lineage: Bacteria; Candidatus Magasanikiibacteriota. The record is from RNAcentral.